This 140-nucleotide ribosomal RNA is filed under the name Amanita populiphila. Its description in RNAcentral is "partial 28S ribosomal RNA". It matches the Rfam family "Eukaryotic large subunit ribosomal RNA", at positions 1 to 138 of the family's 3401-position model. Lineage: Eukaryota; Fungi; Basidiomycota; Agaricomycetes; Agaricales; Amanitaceae. The record is from RNAcentral.
UUGACCUCAAAUCAGGUAGGACUACCCGCUGAACUUAAGCAUAUCAAUAAGCGGAGGAAAAGAAACUAACAAGGAUUCCCCUAGUAACUGCGAGUGAAGCGGGAAAAGCUCAAAUUUGAAAUCUGGCAGUCUUUUUUUUC